This 267-nucleotide ribosomal RNA is filed under the name Salmonella enterica subsp. diarizonae. RNAcentral's name for it is "partial 23S ribosomal RNA". It matches the Rfam family "Bacterial large subunit ribosomal RNA", at positions 711 to 975 of the family's 2925-position model. The record is from RNAcentral. Lineage: Bacteria; Pseudomonadati; Pseudomonadota; Gammaproteobacteria; Enterobacterales; Enterobacteriaceae.
AGACCCGAAACCCGGUGAUCUAGCCAUGGGCAGGUUGAAGGUUGGGUAACACUAACUGGAGGACCGAACCGACUAAUGUUGAAAAAUUAGCGGAUGACCUGUGGCUGGGGGUGAAAGGCCAAUCAAACCGGGAGAUAGCUGGUUCUCCCCGAAAGCUAUUUAGGUAGCGCCUCGUGAACUCAUCUCCGGGGGUAGAGCACUGUUUCGGCUAGGGGGCCAUCCCGGCUUACCAACCCGAUGCAAACUGCGAAUACCGGAGAAUGUUAU